AGAAUUGUCUGGUUAAUGCCGUUCACUAACGAGACCACAGCCUACUAAAUAGUACGUGUUAUGUUAACAUAGUAUGAGACUUCUUAGGGGGACAUUUCGGGUUUACCGAAAGGAAGUUUGUGGCAAUAACAGGUCUGUGAUGCCCUUAGAUGUUCUGGGCCGCACGCGCGCUACACUGACGACUUCAACAAGUUUUUUGGCAUUGCCAAAUUUCCUUGGCCGGAAGGUCUGGGUAAUCUUUUAAAAGGUCGUCGUGAUGGGGCUAGAUUCUUGCAAUUAUUAAUCUCCAACGAGGAACC
This 299-nucleotide ribosomal RNA is filed under the name Thraustochytriidae sp. RNAcentral describes it as "Thraustochytriaceae sp. partial small subunit ribosomal RNA". It matches the Rfam family "Eukaryotic small subunit ribosomal RNA", at positions 1307 to 1610 of the family's 1831-position model. The record is from RNAcentral. Lineage: Eukaryota; Bigyra; Thraustochytrida; Thraustochytriidae.